RNAcentral lists this long non-coding RNA (229 nucleotides) under Capsicum annuum. RNAcentral describes it as "long non-coding RNA (CANN_LNC018260)". The record is from RNAcentral. Lineage: Eukaryota; Viridiplantae; Streptophyta; Magnoliopsida; Solanales; Solanaceae.
UUCCAACCAUUUUCUCAAGUUGGUUGAUUGUAAUCUCCCUUGGAACAUAUGCUUCAUUUAAUACCUUCAGUAAAACAUCACGAUGCUCCUUGGAGUGCAGCAGCAAAGAUAAAAAGGAAAUUUGAGCAGGGGUUUUCUUCAACUGGUCUAAUAUUGAAUACUCUGGCAAUUUCAUCUUUUUCAAAAAUUCUUUGGCUUCUUCUUCAGUGAUAGUCUUUUUGAUAGAUGA